Molecule: small nucleolar RNA, 107 nt
Organism: Zingiber officinale
Lineage: Eukaryota; Viridiplantae; Streptophyta; Magnoliopsida; Zingiberales; Zingiberaceae
Source: RefSeq, a predicted model, not a curated record
AGACUGUGAUGAGGGCAUUUUACCAAUAACCCUUUUAGUCUUUCUCAUGUUGCAAACAAUGAUUCUCCUUCUGCCUGUUGGAAAUUUAUAAUUUAACCUCUCAAUUU